Molecule: ribosomal RNA, 566 nt
Filed under: uncultured bacterium
Lineage: Bacteria
Description: bacterial SSU rRNA
Rfam family: Bacterial small subunit ribosomal RNA
Source: RNAcentral
UGAUGUGUGUUAAUUCGAUGCAACGCGAAAACUUACCCACCUUUGACAUGUACGGAAGUCGCUAGAGAUAGCUUCGUGCUCGAAAGAGAGCCGUAACACAGGUGCUGCAUGGCUGUCGUCAGCUCGUGUCGUGAGAUGUUGGGUUAAGUCCCGCAACGAGCGCAACCCUUGUCAUUAGUUGCUACAUUCAGUUGGGCACUCUAAUGAGACUGCCGGUGACAAACCGGAGGAAGGUGGGGAUGACGUCAAGUCCUCAUGGCCCUUAUAGGUGGGGCUACACACGUCAUACAAUGGCUGGUACAAAGGGUUGCCAACCCGCGAGGGGGAGCUAAUCCCAUAAAACCAGUCGUAGUCCGGAUCGCAGUCUGCAACUCGACUGCGUGGAGUCGGAAUCGCUAGUAAUCGUGGAUCAGAAUGUCACGGUGAAUACGUUCCCGGGUCUUGUACACACCGCCCGUCACACCAUGGGAGCGGGUCUCGCCAGAAGUAGUUAGCCUAACCGCAAGGAGGGCGAUUACCACGGCGGGGUUCGUGACUGGGGUGAAGUCGUAACCAAGGUAUCCGUA